This is a long non-coding RNA of Piliocolobus tephrosceles (Ugandan red Colobus), 1859 nucleotides long. The record is from Ensembl. NCBI's taxonomy places the organism in Eukaryota, Metazoa, Chordata, Mammalia, Primates, Cercopithecidae.
AAGAUUGUAGAAAGAUUGUAGAAAGAUUGUAGAAAGACUGUAGAAAGAUUGUAGAAAAUGAUAAAAAAUGUUAUUUACCAACAUAAUAAUAAAUUAGGGUUAUAUAUAAUAUCAAAGCAAAGCGCUAAAAAAAAAGAUAUAAAUAAAAGUGUAAAUGAUAUAGAAACAUGUUCCAAUACAUGUGUAAAUUACAAUAUAAACACAAAUACAUUUAAUAAAAUUGAGUUUUAUAAUGAGGAUUAUAUUAGCGAAACUAAUUUAAACAAACAUAUAGUUAAUGCUCUUUUGAAAAGCUAUUUAGAAAAAAAAAAUGGAUGUGUAUUAUCUUUUAUCAAUUUAUCGGAGCAGUUAAAAAAACAAUCAAAUAAUAUACAACAUGAUAUAAACAGUAAUAAAAAAAAUUAUAACAAUAAAUUUUACAAUAAUUUAAAUGACACAAAUACAAACAUUAUUUUAAAUAAUUUUUUUACAAAAGUAAAUGAAACUACAGUUAAACAAAAACAAAAUUAUUCAUUACAGUAUGUCCUACUUGGAAAUUUUUAUUAUUAUGAUUUAUUAGAAAAUUAUCAUGAACUUACUGAGAAUUAUCAAAAAAUUAAAAGCUGUGCUUUAAAAGGUGAUGAAAAAACAAACAACAUAAAAAAUAAUAGGACCUAUGAUUGUCGCACUGACAAUUAUAAAAAAACAAAUGUCCCUGUUUAUAACGAAUUAAACAUUUUUAAAAGAAAAAACAAAAAAAUCGAUUUUAUAAAUGCCAAAAAAUUAAAAGACAUAUUUUGUUAUGUGGAAAAACAAGAAAAUGUGUUAAAAGGGAAAUCAAAUAAUAUGAAUAGUGACAGUAGCAGUAAUAGUGACCCCUUUUAUUUGACAUUAAUACAUUUAAACAUCAGUAACAAUAUAGAAGAAGGUAAUACCUGCAUAUUUGAAACAAAUAUGUCGUAUAAUACUAAUAAACAAAUAAAAAUAAAUAAUAAUAGUAUUAAUACUAGUGUAACAAACAGCUUUUAUUUUAUUAACGUUUAUUACAUAAACAAUAAUGAAAAUGCAGUAGAAAAUGGAAAAAAUAAACGACAACAGCAGCAAACAGUAGUAACAGAUUAUGAAUUAAAAAAGGAUAAAUCCGAAACAAACAAACUAAAACAGUUACUAUCCAUGUUUAGUAACAUAAUUAAUAAUUAUGAUAAAGAAGGAAGUACAAAUAUAGAUAGUACAGAUUUUAAAAUAAUAUCGCAUAUAUUUUCUGAAAUUUAUAAGGAUGUUACUACUAAUAUUUUUUUAAAGAUUGUUUUAGAUAAUUCUAUUAAAGAUUCUACAAACAAAACGAAUGAAGAACUUAUGUUAAAUUUUGUUUACUCUAUUAACUUAAAUAUGAAAAACAUACUGAAUAAUGACAACAAUAAAAAUAUAAAUAAUUCAGAAAACGUACAUACUAAUUUGAAAGAAAAUGAAAAUAAAGAUUUUUUAAUAUUAAAAGAUGAAAAAUAUUAUAAAAUAUGUAACAUGUUAUUUAAUAACAUUGAUUUGGAUGAAAAUGCAAAAUGUAAAAUUAUUAAAAAAAUUAUAACAUAUCCUGAACAAUAUUUUGAUAAAUUAUCACAUUUAAAAAAUAAAUUUGAACAUAAUUUUAACAUUUAUAAGGAUAAAGAAAAAGACAUUUAUAACGAAAUUUCUUAUCUUAUAAAAAAGCAAAAUUUAAUUAUAAAAAAAUACAAAGAAGAAGAAGAAAAAACAAAAAAUGAUAUUUUAAAUAUACUUGAACAAAUUACUCAUAUUAAUGAACAAAAUAUCGAAAUCAACAAUGAAAUAAAAAAAAAUCAAAAUUUAAAUGUUUCAUUUAUUAAAGAACAAAAAAAUUGGGA